This 170-nucleotide non-coding RNA is filed under the name human gut metagenome. RNAcentral describes it as "Lysine riboswitch". It matches the Rfam family "Lysine riboswitch aptamer". From Rfam's summary of the family: Riboswitches are metabolite binding domains within certain messenger RNAs that serve as precision sensors for their corresponding targets. The record is from RNAcentral.
AGAGAUAGAGGUCGCGCGAAUCAAGAGUAUGUCGUUGGAUGUGUGCAGGCACAGGCGAAUGCGGCGGAAAGGGACGAGCGCCGAAAGGCCGGUAAGCCUGUAAAUCUGGUUCUUGGGCAUAGGGUAAAGAAUCCUAUGACUGUCAUCGUGCACAGAUGAAGCGCUAUCCG